This 234-nucleotide long non-coding RNA is filed under the name Elaeis guineensis (African oil palm). Its description in RNAcentral is "long non-coding RNA (EGUI_LNC032389)". Lineage: Eukaryota; Viridiplantae; Streptophyta; Magnoliopsida; Arecales; Arecaceae. The record is from RNAcentral.
GCAUGAGUUGUGGAUGAGCUACUAAGCUCUUUUUUUAAUUAUCGAUCUAGAUAGUUAUGGCCUUUUUAUUCAAGCAGACUGAGAUUAUAUUUAGUUAUGACCCAUUAUAUUAUCAUCGUACUGAUUGUUCAAAUAUUUGAUCGACUAUUGAUUAUUCAGGACAUAUGCCAUCAUUGGGUCAAUGGGCUAAGUUAGUAGGUGAGAUUUCAGAAGAUAGCAAAUCCGAGCCUUAUC